CGGCGAACGGGUGAGUAACACGUGGGUGACCUGCCCUCAGCUCUGGGAUAAGCCUGGGAAACUGGGUCUAAUACCGGAUAUGACCUCCUGCCGCAUGGUGGGUGGUGGAAAGUUUUUUCGGCUGGGGAUGGGCCCGCGGCCUAUCAGCUUGUUGGUGGGGUGAUGGCCUACCAAGGCGACGACGGGUAGCCGGCCUGAGAGGGCGACCGGCCACACUGGGACUGAGACACGGCCCAG
Molecule: ribosomal RNA, 237 nt
Filed under: uncultured bacterium
Lineage: Bacteria
Description: partial 16S ribosomal RNA
Rfam family: Bacterial small subunit ribosomal RNA
Source: RNAcentral